RNAcentral lists this long non-coding RNA (1572 nucleotides) under Piliocolobus tephrosceles (Ugandan red Colobus). RNAcentral describes it as "lncRNA (ENSPTEG00000038383.1)". Lineage: Eukaryota; Metazoa; Chordata; Mammalia; Primates; Cercopithecidae. The record is from RNAcentral.
AAGUAAAAAAAAAAAAAAAAUACAAAAAAUGGGUUUACUUUUUGAACACUUGAAAGGAAAAUGUUUAUACGACAUUAUAUAUGAUAAUGUCAAUAAUAGUGGUGAUAGUAAUAUCAAUACCAAUGACUUUAAUACUAGUACCACUUUCAGUGACAGUGUUAACUACAGCAGAAGCAAGAAUAAACUUAAAUGUAAUAAUAAAAAAAAAAAGGAACAUGCGGAAGUAGACAUAUCGUUAAAUAAAAUGCAUAUGAAUGACAAAGUGAGUGGUAGUCAGAACAAGAUUAAAAAAGAUAAAAGAGAAAACACAUAUAGAUACUCAAAAGAAUUAAAGAAUGAAGGAAUUAUAAAACUGUUUUUAAAUAUAUCAACUUUAUUACAUUACAUACAUAAAAAAAAUAUAUAUCAUGGAAAUUUAAAUAGCAAAAAUAUUUUUAUUACAACUAAUGGACUUGUAAAGUUGUUCAACUUUGAGAAUGCACAUAUACAAUGUUAUUAUGAUUAUAAGAAGAGUAUGCAAAAAAGAAUGUAUGAUUCGCACAGUUGUACAUUUAGUAGUAGUAGUAGUAGUAGUAGUAGUACACGUACCACAUGUGGUAGUAAAUACAUACACCAUUACAAUAAAUCUUAUUCAUCCCAUUUAAAUAUUUCACUACCUUUACCAUAUAUAACAUCAAUUAAUUACUUUAAAAACAUAAAUGAUAACAUAACAUCACCCAUGUUACAAGUUUAUACUAGUAAACUUAGUAAUGUAAUACAACUCAGAUAUAAUUAUAAUUCCGCAUAUACAGCUCCUGAAGUCUUAAGAAAAGAAGAAUACACAGAUAAAAGUGACAUUUAUUCUUUUGGUGUUUUAAUGUAUGAAAUGUUAUUUAAAACUUUGCCUUUUCAAAAUAAGCAUGUUCCAUUUUAUUUUUUUAGUUUUACAAAUUUUAAUCAAAAUUAUUUGGUUUUUGAUGUUAAUAGGUUACGGCAAAUGUUUUAUGAUCCUAGUGUUGGUGCUGCUACAUAUACCGAUAGUGAUGGUGGUGGCGAUACCGACACUGCUACUGCUACUGCCACUACCACUACCACUGCCACCAAUACCGAUGGCAAUAACAAUAUAAUGUUUCAUCUGUUUAUAAAUGUUAUACUUUUAAUUAAACAGUGCCUGAACCCUGAACCCGAAAAUAGACCGAACUCUGAAUACUUAUGUUACAAUUUUAAGUUUUUGUUACAUAUGUUUGAGCUUAAUCAAAUGAGAGAAAAGACAUAAGUUUGGGCGGGGCACAUAUGAUACACAAGCGUAUUUUUUUUUUUUUUUUUUUUUUUUUUUUUUACACAUGGCUAACUUGGAUGAGAGUCUGAGCCUGAUUACGUUAAGUACCGUAUUACCUUUUUUUAAAUUUUUUAUUUUGUUUAUUACUAUUGUUGGAAACAUAAAAAAUUGGUUUUAUGUCAGUGUAAUUGUAACAUGUGCUUGUAACACAACAUGUGUUUAUAAUACGAGUAAGAAAAAAAAAAAAAAAAACUACGUUUAUAAAUUUUUUUUAAUUUUAUAGUGCAAUUAGACGUUAUAUAUAAAGUUUUUUU